This 253-nucleotide ribosomal RNA is filed under the name uncultured bacterium. Its description in RNAcentral is "partial 16S ribosomal RNA". It matches the Rfam family "Bacterial small subunit ribosomal RNA", at positions 524 to 776 of the family's 1533-position model. The record is from RNAcentral.
UACAGAGGGUGCAAGCGUUAAUCGGAAUUACUGGGCGUAAAGCGCGCGUAGGCGGUUUGUUAAGUUGGAUGUGAAAGCCCCGGGCUCAACCUGGGAACUGCAUCCAAAACUGGCAAGCUAGAGUACGGUAGAGGGUGGUGGAAUUUCCUGUGUAGCGGUGAAAUGCGUAGAUAUAGGAAGGAACACCAGUGGCGAAGGCGACCACCUGGACUGAUACUGACACUGAGGUGCGAAAGCGUGGGGAGCAAACAGG